RNA transcript from Phoenix dactylifera (date palm), 2778 nucleotides. It is a transcript of the gene named FACT complex subunit SSRP1-like, with no coding region annotated. The record is from RefSeq and is a predicted model, not a curated record. Lineage: Eukaryota; Viridiplantae; Streptophyta; Magnoliopsida; Arecales; Arecaceae.
CAAGGCGACAUGCCAACGCCAAUCCGUGACCGCACUCGUCUUCCGUCACUUACUGUAGCCUUCCCUCCCUACGUCUAUAAAUACCCCGGUGGGAGCGAGGUCAUGCGUCGCUUCGGCGCUUGGGCGCGGCUUUGAGUGAAGCUGGGAAGAGGGAAGUCCUGCGCGAGCGAGAGCUCAAAGGGGAAGAAUUAAAAGAAAUUCUCCCUUCCGUCCGGCAGAGAUGACGGACGGCCAUCUCUUCAACAACAUCCUCCUCGGAGGCCGCGGCGGAACUAAUCCAGGGCAGUUGAAGGUGCACGCAGGAGGGAUUGCAUGGAGGAAGCAAGGUGGUGGAAAAAUCAUCGAAAUAGACAAAGCAGAUAUUACUUCUCUGACCUGGAUGAAAGUUCCUAGGGCAUAUCAGCUUGGAGUGAGGAUCAAGGAUGGCUUGUUUUACAAGUUCAUCGGUUUUCGUGAACAGGAUGUCACUAACUUGACAAAUUUUAUUCAAAAAUCUAUUGGAAUAACACCAGAAGAGAAGCAGCUUUCCGUCAGUGGCCAUAAUUGGGGAGGUGUUGAUAUCAAUGGAAACAUGCUUACAUUCUUGGUAGGUUCAAAGCAAGCAUUUGAGGUUUCACUGGCAGAUGUUGCCCAAACCCAACAGCAAGGAAAAACAGAUGUUUACUUGGAGUUCCAUGUCGAUGACACUACUGGGGCUAAUGAGAAAGAUUCGUUGAUGGAUUUAAGUUUUCAUGUACCUACUUCCAAUACUCAGUUUGUUGGUGAUGAAAAUCGUCCUCCAGCCCAGGUUUUACUAGAAAAAAUCUUGUCAUUGGCGGAUAUUGGUUCAUCAGAAGAAGCCGUUGUCACAUUUGAAGGAAUUGCAAUUCUUACACCUAGAGGAAGGUAUGGUGUUGAGCUUCACCUUUCAUUCUUACGGCUUCAAGGACAGGCAACUGAUUUUAAGAUUCAAUAUAGCAGUGUUGUUCGACUUUUCCUGUUGCCAAAGUCCAAUCAAACUCAUACUUUUGUUAUAAUCACACUUGACCCACCAAUUCGCAAAGGACAAACUUUAUACCCGCAUAUUGUUAUUCAGUUUGAAGCAGAAGCUAUAGUUGAAAGGCACCUGUCCCUAAGCGAGGAGCUCCUAGCUACAAAAUACAAGGACAAACUGGAUGCAGCGUAUAAGGGUCUAACUAGUGAAGUCUUCACUAAGGUUUUGCGUGGUUUGUCUGGUGCCAAAGUGACAAGAGUAGGUUCAUUCCGUAGUUGUCAAGGUGGAUAUGCAGUCAAAUCAUCAUUGAAAGCUGAAGAUGGAUUGUUAUAUCCUCUUGAGAAAGGAUUUUUCUUUCUACCAAAACCUCCUACUCUCAUUCUUCAUGAUGAGAUCGAGUAUGUUGAAUUUGAAAGGCAUGGUGCUGGAGGUUCAAGUGUGUCAUCUCACUAUUUUGACCUCCUUGUAAAGCUAAAAAAUGAUCAAGAACACCUGUUCAGAAAUAUCCAGAGGAGUGAAUAUCAUAGCCUUUUUGACUUCAUUAGUGGAAAGGGUUUGAAGAUUAUGAACCUUGGAGAUGCGCAAGGCACGAACGGUGUUUCAGCUGUUCUUCAGAAUUCUGAUGAUGAUGCUGUUGAUCCACAUCUAGAGCGAAUAAAGAAUGAGGCUGGUGGCGAGGAAAGUGAUGAAGAGGAUGAGGAUUUUGUUGCUGAAGAGGAUGAUGGUGGGUCUCCUACUGAUGAUUCUGAAGAAGAGGAGUCUGACGCGAGGGAAAGUGGAGAUGAGAAAGAAAAAUCUGCUGCAAAGGAUUUGAAAAAGGAAGCUGUUGGUACUAAGGCAUCAUCUACUAAGAGGAAAUCUAAGGAUGGGGAUGAAGAAGGCUCGAAGAAGAGAAGGCAGAAGAAGAAAAAGGAUCCUAAUGCACCAAAAAGGGCGAUGUCAGGGUUUAUGUUUUUUUCAAAUGCUGAAAGAGAGAAUAUUAAGAAAAGCAAUCCUGGGAUGUCAUUUACCGACGUUGGGAGGGCUCUUGGGGAAAGGUGGAAAAAGAUGUCAGCUGAGGAGAAGGAGCCUUUCGAAGCAAUGGCACGGGCGGAUUCUAAGCGUUACAAGGAGGCCAUGGCUGGCUACAAGAGCGGCGGCCCUACAAUAAACGUAGAUUCAGGUAACGAGUCUGAGUGAGAGGUCGUUGCCUCUUAGCAUGGCCCGACUACCAGCGGUGCUGAGGCAAUGUUUGCUUAGGCCUCGUACUUGAACUAGGCAACUUUGUUUCGACCUCAACAGACAUUACUGAAAGGGAAGCUGCAAACGGUAUUCACUUGAGCUUCUGUUACAUUACAGCGGGCAUUAUUAACUUGGAUGGUUCUGUCAGCUAUUUUACUUGAACAAAACUGUAGAACAAGAAAUGGGGAUCAUGCGACCGCUCUGAUCAUUCUGCGGAAGUAGACCGGAACGGCACGGUGUGAGCUCCCCUUCAGGUCUUUUAGACGUGUCACAUUGGUGCGAGAUCACACAUGGGCUUGCAGGGGCCUCCCUUAGGUAAUGGGCUUGGGCUUCAUUGGAGGAUCGUGCCUGGUGGAUGAUGCGGUCUCGUUACUUUGGGCCUCCAACCCCGCCGCCGAGUCCCUUGUCUCAAGCCCACGUCGUCUACAAUCACCAAAACUUGAGGAUGAGGUGAAUCACGAACGUGUACCACUUCGAGCCCCCACCCUAUUAUAAAAAUUGCUUAUAAUGUCAAAAUAAUAUUUUUCAUCUAUUGUUAUUAUUUUUUUAAUAAAAAUUCAAUUGAUGAAAUAUGAAAUAUUUCA